Long non-coding RNA from Astatotilapia calliptera (eastern happy), 8749 nucleotides. The record is from Ensembl. Lineage: Eukaryota; Metazoa; Chordata; Actinopteri; Cichliformes; Cichlidae.
GCAGCUUCUGGAGAACUUCACGGCAUGUUGAGGAGGUCAUCCAGCCGUUUGAAUCAGCUGUGUUGGAUCAUCUGAGACCUGCGGGACUCCGGCCCUCGAGGCCUGGCGUUGGACAGUCCGGCACUAAAGUUUUGUCCGGAGCUUCUGUCACGACACGAAGCUGCACAGUGAAGAACAGUUCAGCACACUCUUACUCUGUAACUUGUUUAUUUAACUUUACAUACUGUAUAAAGUGUUCUGUAUAUACACAAUAUACACGACACAGGUAGUGCAGGUUUUAUUUUACAGGGCUGUCUGCUUACAGUUCACAUUUUGCAUGAUGAAUAAUCCAGUGUUUAACAUUCAGUCCUCUUCAGUUGGUGAAGCUCAGACCUGUUUGGUUCCCUCCCAGAACGGGUGCGACUCCUACAGGAGCCACACUGGACACGGAGCCUUCCUGUUGUGAUGUAACAGUCCUGUGCCAGGCUGAGGUAUGACUACCAGCCACACUGUGUGAGAGUACACACCACCACCCCAACAUGCUUUGGAAACACUCGGCGCUGAUGACAUGUGGCAUGUUAUUAUGCAAAUCACCAAAGUUAAUAUGACCAAUUUUCCUGCUUAUGAAAGGCAAUUUUUGUCACAUUUCUCCAAACUGACUCAGGCACUUUCGCUGCAUAACACCAGCAGUGUGUUUCCACACAUCUCCUGCCAGAGCGACAACGGCGUCACUUCACAGGUUUGGGAAUGAAAAAAGGGAGAAAAUAAUAAACAGAGAAAGGCACUUGAGGGCAACAGACAUGGCAGUGGGGUUCAAGUGGAAACAGGUUUGACGCAUUUGAACAUAAAAGCCUUCCCACUCUGCGCACCGGCAUCUGGGCUGUCUCUUCUUGUUUUAACACUGAUGUGGCGUGAAGCUAAAUACUGUCAGAAGGCACGAGAUCCAAACCGACGCUGAGACAUUAGUGAAGAUGUGGAGCUUCAAAUUUGUGCAGAAUGCAUGUAAGUGCUGCCUUCUGACCACUGACUCAGGCUCAAUGAUGUCAAACAGCCGCUGCACGCUCACGAUGUUUCUGUCCGUACAUCGACGGCGUCCUCGCCGUGUCAUAUCCAUCAGAAUGUGUUAAAGAGCACCUUCCAGGUCGUCCACCCGUUCUACCUUUGUGCCUUUGAGCACCGAAUGCUCCGAGUUGUUUCCAGAUUGACAGAUGGAGCUGCAGCAGCUUGUGGUGGUGAAGGUAUGUCCUUACUCUCAGCUAUGACACCAGCUUUGGUUGGUGACCAAAAGCAUCCCAUCAAAGCAGCAGAGCUCUUGCGUCUGUGAUGACGAGGUUCAGGUCGUCUCCUCUUCGGUGAUGUUUUCUGGGCACGUCCAACCAGGAGGAGACCCCGUUGCAGACCCGGGACACAGCUGAGCUGUUCGGGAACGUCUCAUUAUCCUCACUUCCUGGAAGAACUGGAGGCAGCAAGGCAUCAUCAGUUUGUGGUGCCAUGCUUACUAGUACCAGUACAUUUUUAGGGAGGUGGAAAUACGUGAAACUGGUUCUGGAUUUGGCACGACGUUGGUGGAGGUUAAAGGUUAAAGAUAUGAGCCCUGAAAAGCUGCAGAUCAUCUCACCUACUCAGCUCAGACCGCCCCAAGUAUUUGGACUGAGUAGGACUCAGUUUGAUAUAUGCUACAUAUUAAAUUAUCAAACACUGCAAAUGACCUCAAGUUCCUCGAGGAACCAGGAGCCAGUGAUGCUGCUUUGGCCAAAUCUUCAUCCUCAGCCCCUUUUUGAAUCUGUUCCAGGAUGUGAGAUAUUUGCUGACAUGUCUCACCUGCUACAAAGAUCUAAAACAUCACUUUUUAAACAGGAUUUUGUACGUUGUGAUUUAAAGGGACUGUCCCAACCCAUAAGUGCAUACAGCCUGCAGUUCUCUUUAUCUGGAUGUUGAUCGCCCGUCUGACUCUUGACAAUAGUGGUAAGGAAGGUGCUUUUGCUGUGGCGUGGUCACGGUGCUGUUUGAAGGCUCGUACAGUAACUGCGAGGGAACCCAUCGUAGUGUCUGCUCAACUUUAUGAUCCUCAACAUUUAAAACUGUUUCUUGCACAUGAGUCCAGUAUGUCGCUGCUCCCACUCAGUGAGCUCAGCGUUAUGCAGAAAGCUUCUCUUCUCAUUUCCAUUUGUCUCGUGUUAAAGACACGACUCGGGUCCGGGUGCUAUAGCAGUCCAGUCCACAGAUUGUAGCACGCGGUGUUAAUUACAGACUCCAGGUGAUGAUACAUGGACACCAGCUGAGGAGGGGGGCUGCUGCCGGCCUGCGGCUGCAACGGCAGCGGCUCCCGAAACACGACCUUUAAACUCUGCGGGAGGAAGAUGAAAUCUGAGAACUUUGCAUGACUUUAUUAUAAGAAAAAAUAAGUCAGACGUGUAUAAGAACUCACAGUUUUUCCAGCUUGGUUGUCCAGAAAUACCAGAACGAAGCAGUCGGUGAACUUUUGGUUCAGAACAGCCUGAAGUACAAAGACACGAGUGGACGUUAGCUGGAACGAGGUGAACAGAUACUGGAUGCCGUUGUCGUCGAAGUGUCUGCAGCUCUGAGGGAAGCGACUGAGCAGGACCUUGAUGAGACUCUGGUACCAGGCUGGACCCAUGGUCAGGAAACAGUCCUGCAGCAACACGUUCACACUACAGUUACAACACUGACCAUCAGAAACUUUCACUGGGUUUCACCUGCAAAGUCAAAUAUUCAAGCUGCAGAUGUAUCAUUUAAAAGCUCCUCCUUUAACUAACAAAAUCCUGAAGCCUCCUGAUGUGUUAGGAACAUUUACCUCCCAUUCACAGCUCCUGCUAACAUGUAUGUGCGAGCUGAUGUUUGAUCUGCAGGUCACCUGCAGCUGGCUGAGGUCACAGCGAGAGCCUGAUCACCUCCAAAUGUUUCUCAUACUGUGGGAGCACCGAUGCUUAGCUGUGUGCUGGUGUUGCUUUGCGUUUCAAAUGACAGGGUGUCGAGCUGCUGGCGGUUCAUUUGUGUCGAGCUGUGGUCUUAGUAAUCAAGGUGUUUGGUAUUGCUGAUGUUUGAUGGUCAUAACUGAAUCUUGAUUUUAAGGCUAAAAUUAGAGUCUCACCAGCUGCGGGUCGAUUUCCCCCACUGAUCGGCUCUGCACAGCCUCCAGCAGCUCCUCCAGCUCGCUGAACGACAACUUGGCCAGCUUCAGUUUAUCCAGGGCCACAUGCUCGCCGUGGAACAGCCUCCUCCACAGGUUGUCCCUGCGGCAGUGACCCAUGGCCUGCUCCACGCUGAUCUGGAUCUGUCUGCGGGCAGACGCCACCUCGUUGUUGAGAAGAGGGAACAGAGGGGAGGCGUAGAGGAGCCCCUGAGCCUCUGGUCCACCGCCUGUCAGAGGGUAAAACUCGUUGCCAUCACUUGGAGCCAAGGGUGCUGAAGCUUCAGACGAACCCUCCUCCCAGAGGUCCUGCUCAGAACCACGUGACCCAGAAGCCUCUGCUCGAUCCUGGGAGAGCCGUCCCCCCAGCUCUCCGGGAUCACGGUGGAUUUGAGGAAGCUUCUUAAAGCGGCGCAUGUCUGCAGUGAGGCGUGGGAAUAGCUCCCGCUGACUGGUCAUGAUCACGUAGAAGCGUAGCCUAUGAAAGGGGACGAGAUGAGACUCAGCAAAAGUUUAUCCAGUGCCUUCAGUGAUGUACUGUUAACACAUUUGUUUGGCCCGUGAAACGUCCACCAGUCCUCUUUAGGUUGUGUCAGGACAUGUCAGAUAAAACAAACAUGGUGUCAGCCCAGAUAUGAGUAACUAUCACACAGCCUCUAUGCUGCAGUCUGUAGAUCUUACCUGAGCAGAUGCCUCUCCCCGUCUGACUGCUCCUCAAACGGAGCAGCGUUGUGACACACCACCAGGGAAACAUCGAAGUCAUCGUGGUGGGGCAGACCGUCCAGAUCCUUGUAGGAGCCCGAACUAAAGCAAGAGGAGCCAACAAAGGUAAAGUUAAGCCGCAGAUAUGAGGAGAGAAGGUUUAUUCUGAGGUCAGAGCUGUUUCUCCACCUGUUCCACAGAGCCACCAGGGCAUACUCGUGAAGGUCAGGCAUCGCCUUCUUGUUGUCAGUGGCGACCGCAGCCUUCGACAUGCGGAGCGGCUUCAUGCCAUACGUGCUGGCGUGGUCGGUGAUGUAGUUGUAGAGCUGGUGAGCCGUUAUCAUCCCCGUGGAGAUGGAGAAGCUCCCUGAUUUACACAAGAAUGACAGACGCUCAGAAGGACAAACACAGUUGUUCCUGUGCACACACAGAGCCCGAGAAGCUCUGAUGGAAAAACAAAUAUCUGCUCAUCGAUCCAGAACGGCUCAGAGAGCGCUGCUGGUGACGCCCGAACGGAGGCGGGACACAGAGGGACUGAACUCGUCUUUCAGUGAAACAAUUUCAAAUAUUUACUCUGAAUAUCAUUUCAGUUGGUUUGCACUGACCACCAGAGGGAGCUGGAGAAGACGCUAAACAUGAACACAAAUUCACCUGAGUAGACUUCCAGUACUCGUGCUAGCAGAGGUUAGCGAAUAAACUCUGUGCUAAAUCAACCACAGGGGUGGGGGGGGGUAAGAGGUGAGCUAAAGUUGUUUAUUUCAGAACAAAAAAAAAAAAUUCAUGAACCAUCACUGUGGAUGAUUCAGAUUUACCUGUUUAGCUACAGAAGUUUAACCCAAACUUUGUUUGGAGUUUGGAAUUUAAUCCAGACCACUUCCUCCCAAAGGUCUCGGUGCACUUAUUUUUUUCUGCACGUCUGCAUAGUUUAAGCCAAGACAGCAGAGUUUGUUUUUUAAAAUGACCACAACUUCCAUAAACGUGCUGCGAAUAACUUCAGUGAAGUCACAGCACACGGACACAUUUUCAGAUGCAAGUCUUUGUUAAAUGAAGCUGGUGGAAAGACUUCAUCUCAUGUAUCAGGGACCAUUAGGUAAAAGGGGGAAAGUUGAAAGCCGGAGGCAAAGAAUACAAAUUAAAGUUAUAACCUUGCACUUUUUAAGGUUGGAUAAACCUAAUCGCACCAUAAAAAUGGGGAAUGCCAUUCGCACUUUAGUGAGGACGUGCAGCUAUAUGGUGGAUAUAACUGGAUCCUUAGUUUGUAUUUCCCAUCAGAACCAGUGUGUGUUUGUGUGGGCACUGACCCACAGUUCAAAUGCUUCUAAUCACAUGAUGAUUUUUGGGCCUAUUUUUCAUUUGUCAGUUUGUUUUUUUCUGGUCUUUGUUUCUGGUGAAUUCGAGUUUUGUUCCCUUUAGUAAAUGCUCUGUACACCGUUCACUGUGUUGCCAUCUUUUGUUUACUUUCACUGGCUGCUCUGGCGGCUGCUGUAAAUGUUGAAAAGCUAGAAAUCAUGGCAGAAUCAAAAAAACAUUAUCAUCAUCAUCACAUGGGAUUCGAUGCAGUCAGCAACACCAGAAUCACCUUGAAAGACGUGGUUGCGGCCGAACUUGGGGAUGUCCGGGUGAUGGGAGAUGAAGUCGUCCAGGAAGUCGGUGAGCUGGUAGCCUUGCCGUAGCGUCAUGUGGCAGCCGACCAGGUACUGGUGAACCACUCGCAGGUGGAAGUCGUAGCUGAAGGAGUGAACGUGCAUGGUGUCCCUGACUUUAUCACACUCCUCAGUGAAGAGCAUGGAGAGCUGCAACAGAAGGUUGUGAGACGUCAUCACCAGGACAGCGUGACUCACUGACACAGACGGGAAAAGAAGGAGGUACUCUAACUCCAAACUCAGUCAGUCUGAAUACCUCUGCAAAACUGAUCUGGCAGACAGCGCUAACUCUGAAUGUCUAUCUGUGCGAUCAGCCAUGUAUGAAACUGUUUUGCAUCUGAAGGGGAAGGACCUGCUGUUCCAGCCACUCCAACAGAGACUGCUUUGUACAGCACACCUUAAGGCCCUGCUGCACUGUGACUCCCAUCGCUCCUUACUGAGAAGCUUUUGUAAGCAACUUUGAUAUCAAUCAGAUUCAUAAUAAUAUCCUUUUUAAUUAAAUCCAACAUCAAAAGGGAGCUGACAAAAGCAAUAAUUGCAAAUGCAAAUGGCUGCAGUGAGAGGCUGUGCUGUGCAGUUAAUUACAGCACAAUAAGAGUUUACAAGGAGCUCUAAUUGCUACUCCUGCUUUUACUUUGAUCUGGACCAUUUGCCUGGAACGUGCACAAAAGCAGCUUCAUUAUAUCAAAGAGCCAAGAAAAGACUGCACAGCGUUCUGUAGCUACAGACUUUCAUCUCUUCGCCGUCUGGAACCUUUUCCUGCCUCGACACUUGUCCAGAAACUGGCAAAAGGGCAGAAGACUUUCAUCAGCACCCUCACCGCAGAGAUAAGAAUGAGGAAGAAUAUUCUUUUCCACACAGGAAUGAAAAGAUGAAUAUUAACUUUUCUCUCCCCAGCGGUGUUCCUGCAGUCUGGCAGACAAAUUAAGUGUGACCUCCUGGCCUGUUAUCUAUGGAGCCUGGAAGCCAAUGGGACUGCGCGGCUCUCCUCAGUUCAUAGGUAGUUCCUGUGUGUGUGUGUGUGUGUGUGUGUGUCCUCCUUGCUAUCACGCUAACAUUUAUUAUUUCCUAACCUGUAAUCCCAAAUGGUUCAUGUUCUAGUUAAUUAAACACUCCGUGUAACUUUGACAAGAACAAAUUGCCAGUUUGAGUCGUGGGGCUGCAGCUCGUCUCCUGUCAGCGGCACUCGGUGGAAGUGAAAUUAAUGACAGCGGCUGCAUUGACGGGAGAAGCUGCAAUCAGCGAGGUCAUACAAGAAGAAGAAAAAGAAGAGAAUACAAAGCAAGCUGAUUGAAAGAAAGACAAGCAGAGCGACGAGAGGAAAGCUCUCAGCCUGUGACAUCCAUCGAUGCGUCCCUGUGAGGCUCUGCAUUUUCACUCCUGGAAAAAAAGACUCACAUUUCUGCAGUGGUACUAUCACAAUGCAGUGAUCUGAAACCCAACAGGAGUAACAGCAGUUAUCCAGCUGUGAUGUGUGUAUUACAACUGCAAAUAUACACUCACAGCCACUUUACCAGGUACACCUUUCCCCCUUCAGCACUGCCGUAGUGCUUUGUGGCACAGAUUCGACAAGGUGCUGGCACCAUUCCUCGUGGUUCACACUGACAUGAUAGUGUCACACGCAUGCUGUAGAUUUGAAGUCUCCUGUUACAUCACAUCCUAAAGGUGCUGUGUGGGAUCAACACUUUGAACCUUUGAUUACAGCAGAAUCAGGUUCAAGAAUCCAGUUUCAGAUCAUGAGAGUUUCCUGACGUGUCAUGCUCUCCAGCUGGAAGACGGGUACAUGGAGGAGAUUCAUCAGAGCAGAUAAGCUUCCAAACUGUCCACUAUUGGCGAGGCUGUGGAAAUCGUAAGCCGUGGUCUCCUGGUUUUACCUGCACGCAGCAGCACUCUGUGUGGUCUUCUGCUGCUGUAGAGCUUCUCACUUGGUGUUUUCAGGGAUGCUGUUCUGCAUACCUUGGUUUUAAUGAGCAAUUGACCGAGUUAUUGUUGGCUUCCCAUCAGCUAACAGGAGCUUGGCCAAUCUCCUCUGACCACUGGCAUUUACUGGACCAUCCUCUGUAAAGCCUACAAGUGUCUGUGUUGAAAAAUCGCACAUUCAUCACUUAAAUAACAUUUGCUGAUGCUCGGAUUGAACUUCGGGUCUUCUUGACUAUGCCUACAUGUCUACAUGCAUUGAGUUGCUGCCAUGUGAUUGGCCCAUUAGUAUUUGCAGUGUUGGUGUCUCUAAUAAAGUGGCUGGUGAGUGUCUGAUUCUCUGCUUAUGUAUUUAGUACCUGAUUUUCUUAACCGUAACACCCUGAGGAUAUGUUAGUGUGAGUGUUGCAGUACGUUUGCUUUCUCUGGCUGCUUGGUCAGGUUUAGGCACAGAAUAAUUACAUACAUUACUAAUAAUUCAGAAGACCCUUAUGAAGAGAACAUCGAGGGAACAGUUUACCCUGCCCGGGAUAGGGUUACCGGGGCCCCGCCCUGGAGCCAGGCCUGGGGAGGGUGCCCGAGGGCGAGCGUAUGGUGGCCGGGCCUUAGUCCAUGGGGCCCGGCCGGGCACAGCCCGAAGAGGAGACAUGAGCCCAUCCUCCCGCAGGCCCACCACCCGCAGGAGGCGCCAUAGGGGUCGGGUGCAUUGUGUGCCGGGUGGCGGCCAGGAGGGGAGGCCCUGGCGGACUGAUCCCCGGCUGCCAAGACUGGCAAUAAGGACAUGGAAUGUCACCUCUCUGGUGGGGAAGGAGCCUGAGUUAGUGCGUGAGGUUGAGAGGUACCGGCUAGAUAUAGUCGGGCUCACCUCUACGCAUGGCUUGGGCUCUGGAACCAGUCUCCUGGAGAGGGGCUGGACUCUGUCUCAGUCUGGAGUUGCCCAUGGUGAGAGGCAACAGGCUGGGGUGGGUAUUCUAAUAUCCCCUCGGCUUGCUGCCGGUACGUUGGGGUUUUUCCCGGUGGAUGAGAGGGUUUGUUCCCUGCUCCUUAGGGUCGGGGAACGGGCCUGACUGUCAUCUGCGCUUAUGCGCCGAGUGGCAGUUCAGAGUACCCAGCCUUCUUAGAGUCCCUGGGUGGGGUGCUGGAAGGUGGUCCUGCUGGGAGACUUCAAUGCUCACGUGGGUAACGACAUCGAGACCUGGAGGGGCGUGAUUGGGAGGAAUGGCCUCCCUGAUCUGACCCCAAGCGGUGUUUUGUUAUUGGACUUCUGUGCAAAUCACAGUUUGGCCAUAACGAACACCUUGUUCGAACAUAAGAGUUUGUCCAUAAGUGCACGUGGCACCAGGACGCUCUAGGCCGC